RNAcentral lists this long non-coding RNA (3292 nucleotides) under Mus musculus (house mouse). Its description in RNAcentral is "long non-coding RNA chr17:78242501-78245793". Lineage: Eukaryota; Metazoa; Chordata; Mammalia; Rodentia; Muridae. The record is from RNAcentral.
UCAACUAGUAUUUUGAAAACAGCAUUGCACUGUGUGCUCUCAUAGACCAUUCACCCCCAAAAAUUGUUUUUAAUGUGUAUAUGAGGUAGAAGUAGGGGGUGCUCACAGAAAACACCCACAGAAAAAAAUGUGUUAACAUGAUGCAUUUAUGUCUCCUGUGAAGCACUCCUCAGAAGGCUGUCCUGUUUCGCUGGCCUGAUAGAGAUGCUUCCAGCUGCAGUAAGAAGGCUGCUGUCCUGUCACAUAAGUACAGAGACGGCAGAGACGCUGGUCUUUUCCCUUGCAGGUUUCCUCCUGGGCAAGUCCCGUAGGGAGGGCCUGGUGUCUCCUAGUUUUCUCAGGAAUCACCUACAGCAAGGGACUUUGCGUGACCAGGAAGCCCCAGCAGAAAGGGCUCCUGCUGGCUUUCCUGACAGUGAGUAGGAGGGCCAUACAGUGUUUAUACAGAUCUGCCUCCCCUCCCCAGAGAAGUCGAUUCAUUAUACUGGCCAAAGAGAACAUUGUGUGUUUAAUCACUAGAACAAGUUUGAACCACCUCUUGCAUUGCUUCUCAAAAAUAAGGAAUAGGCUUCAAAUUGCUUCACUUUAAAUAUUAAUGCACAGUGGGUUCACUGUGCAAUUAAAGAAUUCUUCCAAGUAAAUGUUAAAAAGAAAUUAAAAGGCGAUGGAGGCAUUUUACCUGUUAUUCGUUAGUGGGUUGCAGGAUGGCUUCAUGGGUAAGGAUGCUCACUGCUAAGCUUGGUGGUCUGCAUUUAAUCCUUGGAACCUGUGUGAUGGAAGGAUAGAAGGGACUCCUGCAAGUUGUCUCCAUACACACAUGCACAUCCAAUGCAAAAAUGUAGAAAAUUCUUAUUAUCACCACUACUAUUGAUAUUAGUAUUAUGGCACCACAUAUUAAAGAGAAGGAUAAAUUCAGAAGUUAGAAUAUGAAGAGAUCCUCUGUUUGUAAUAGAGGUGGCCCUUUGCAUAACCUACCUGUCUGAUCCUAAAGUACGAGGGAUGCAGCUAAAACCUCAUGUCUUUGGAUUUUUGUGUAAAUUAUACCGACGUCCUACAUGGCAUUAAAUAUCAGUGCCCUCAAAAUAUUCCCUAAUGUAAUAUUGACUAUAAUGGGAACAAUAACAUUGUGACGAUUGGCUCACAGGUCAUAGAAGUAGCUGUACAUAACUGUUGGUUAUUCAGGAACUCCAUGUAGCAGAGCUAAACUUACAAGGCUCUUCUAACAACUCAUGAGUCUGUUGUUCUAUUGACAAGAGGAUAGACACGGGCUGUGUGUUGUACACCUGAUGAGGUUUACCACACCUGGGGGACCCUUCGUGGCCUCUUCAGACCGCUGCAAAAACAUAUUCAUCGAUGAUUCAACACAUAUAUUUAAUUAUCUCCCUUCUCCUGCCCCCCGCCCAAAGGAUAAGCUCAACAUAUGUGUCUUUUAGAGACUCAAGCAAGCGGCUUUUGGGGAAACCUUGCCCUCUCAACUUUAGGGCUUUAGUAUUUGCAGGUUUCUAAUUGUUAAGUCAGAUUCUUCAUUAAAAGGAUUAAAUAUAGAUUCUACUUUUCUUAAGUGAGUUAGUGCCAGGUUAUGCUUAUGAUUGCAUUGCUUUAUCUCAUAGACACUGUCUUAAAUUUUAAUUUUAAAUGAUUCCAAUUAAUAUUGCCUAUCAACUUUGGAACUGCUAGGUCUUCUUGUGGCCAAGUGAAAAAAAAAACAUAUUAUCCUCACCUUCCAGAUGGCACAAGGAUCUCAUUACUGUCAGGGUCCCCAAUGGUUUCUCCUUUGGCUGCUUAAAUGCCAUUUACAAGUACUUACUCUGCUUACGAAAGACAGUAAGGCCUUUAUGAAAUUUAAAAUCUGAAUCACUGCCUCAUUUUUUUUAAUAAAGGCAAUCAUGAAUUGAUAAUACAGUGUGCUGUUCUCUAAAAAAAACCCUUUUUUAUAAAGAACUCGAAAAUAAAACAUCACACAGCAACAUCAACUAGAUUGCAGGUCUGUAUAAUGAACAUCCACAUAAGAGUAUUCUGCUUUUUCAUUUGGGGAAAAUAAAUGCCUACACACACACACACACACACACACACACACACACACACACAUAUAUGGAGGUGUGUGUGUGGUGUGUGAGUGUGUCUUUAAAUGACUUUAACCCCCAUUUCAUGAUAGGAGAAAGAAAACAGAGUCAAAGUAAAAUAUUUGAAACAGUAGACUUUUAGCUUAGGUUAAGUCAACAUUUUAAAACUAUAUACUAUAGGUAUAGAUUUUUAGAAGAAUUAUUGUUCAAAACAUGUUUGAGUUCAUUGCCAAUUUGAUGGCCUGAUAAGCGGCACAGGAAAAACAGAAAGGGCUCCGAGAAGGCGGAAACCAGUGUCAAGUAUCUGGGAAAUAAAAGCAGGAAGCUCCAGGAACUUGGCCUCAGACCAGUUAGAGAGAACAGUCGCUUGAAAACCACUCACGUUACCUGCAUUCUGGCUGGGAGACAUCAUACAGUGACCUACCCUUCUGGGAGUUGUGGGUUCUCCUGCUCUUCAAGGAGAUAGGAGGAAGUCCUGAUUAAAGAUGUUGUAUCCCUUGCUAAGAGAAGCGUGGUAGGUAGGUAAAGAGGGAAGUUUUCUUCCACUGCACUGGGAAUGACCACAGGAAGGACUUAGUGUCAUGUGAACUUUCAUUUUAACAUUCGAGCAGUGCUUCCCAGGCACGUUCCAUAGGCAAGGACUCUUUUGAGGUCCUGUGCCAUUCAAUGAUUCUUCCCUUUCUUUUGUUCGGUCUUAACCUCUUUAAGAACAUACACAACUACAUUUUCCAGUCCUCUCUUAUGUCCUAAGAUGUGCUCAAUUCUACCAACUCCCUGCCCAUCCUUGUCUAACCCUCGUGUUAAAGCAACACUGGGCGUAGCAGAGAAGGUUUUUGCUUCACAUGUAAUAUGUCUUAUUUUAAAAUGAACACACUGUGCGUUUUAAGAAUACAUCAGUUAUUGUUGCUAAAAGACGAAAUGCAUCCUGGCCUCAAGCUAGGGAAGGGGUGCUCUUUCAGAACCAGCUUUCAACUUUCUGUUUGUACCUCCAGGAAGUGCUAACCAGAUGCUGAUCUAAUGCCUGGCUUCAGCAGGUUUAGGGUUUUUUUUUCUCCCCUGAGUGGCUCUGGGCAGCCCCUCCUGUGUGUGUGGUUUCUAACUUGGCUGGAGAUGACCUCUCAGGUUUUCCCAGGGUUCAGCGUGGGCUCUGUCACACGUUGCUGCUGAGUGGCUGCCUGGCCCAGCUGUGUCCAGCUGAACCCUAGCCCUACACACACACGCACACACAC